ACCCGCUGAACUUAAGCAUAUCAAUAAGCGGAGGAAAAGAAACCAACAGGGAUUGCCCUAGUAACGGCGAGUGAAGCGGCAACAGCUCAAAUUUGAAAUCUGGCUCUUUCAGAGUCCGAGUUGUAAUUUGCAGAGGGCGCUUUGGCAUUGGCAGCGGUCCAAGUUCCUUGGAACAGGACGUCACAGAGGGUGAGAAUCCCGUACGUGGUCGCUAGCCAUUGCCGUGUAAAGCCCCUUCGACGAGUCGAGUUGUUUGGGAAUGCAGCUCUAAAUGGGAGGUAAAUUUCUUCUAAAGCUAAAUACUGGCCAGAGACCGAUAGCGCACAAGUAGAGUGAUCGAAAGAUGAAAGGCACUUUGGAAAGAGAGUCAAAUAGCACGUGAAAUUGUUGAAAGGGAAGCGCUUGCAGCCAGACUUGCCUGUAGUUGCUCAUCCGGGCUUUUGCCCGGUGCACUCUUCUAUAGGCAGGCCAGCAUCAGUUUGGGCGGUUGGAUAAAGGUCUCUGUCAUGUACCUCUCUUCGGGGAGGCCUUAUAGGGGAGACGACAUGCAACCAGCCUGGACUGAGGUCCGCGCAUUUUGCUAGGAUGCUGGCGUAAUGGCUGUAAGCGGCCCGUCUUGAAACACGG
Molecule: ribosomal RNA, 627 nt
Filed under: uncultured fungus
Lineage: Eukaryota; Fungi
Description: LSU rRNA
Rfam family: Eukaryotic large subunit ribosomal RNA
Source: RNAcentral